This 227-nucleotide non-coding RNA is filed under the name Clostridium chromiireducens. Its description in RNAcentral is "T-box sequence". It matches the Rfam family "T-box leader". Rfam says of the family: Uncharged tRNA acts as the effector for transcription antitermination of genes in the T-box leader family. T-boxes are found upstream of many aminoacyl-tRNA synthetase genes and some amino acid biosynthetic genes usually in Gram-positive bacteria. Lineage: Bacteria; Bacillati; Bacillota; Clostridia; Eubacteriales; Clostridiaceae. The record is from RNAcentral.
UUAAAAACUGUGAAUGAGAGAGUAGAUAUUAGAAGAAUUUUAAGGGAGAGAAGGUCAUAGACUGCAAGCCUUCUUAAAUAAUAUAAUAUUGAAGUUCACUCAGGAGUUCUAGCUGUGAAAUUUUUAGUAGUAGCUAGCGGCAAAAAAAGUCGUUAAUUAAAUUAAGUUGGGUUGCUUUAGUGAUAAAGCUCCAAUUAGGGUGGUAACGCGGAUUUUUCGUCCCUUUU